UACGUGGGGUGCAAGCGUUGUUCGGAAUUACUGGGCGUAAAGCGCGUGUAGGCGGUUCGCUAAGUUCGAUGUGAAAGCCCUGGGCUUAACCCAGGAACUGCAUUGAAAACUGGCGGACUUGAGUCCGGGAGAGGGUCGCGGAAUUCCUGGUGUAGAGGUGAAAUUCGUAGAUAUCAGGAGGAACACCGGUGGCGAAGGCGGCGACCUGGACCGGUACUGACGCUGAGACGCGAAAGCGUGGGGAGCAAACAGG
This 253-nucleotide ribosomal RNA is filed under the name uncultured bacterium. Its description in RNAcentral is "partial 16S ribosomal RNA". It matches the Rfam family "Bacterial small subunit ribosomal RNA", at positions 524 to 776 of the family's 1533-position model. The record is from RNAcentral.